RNAcentral lists this ribosomal RNA (422 nucleotides) under uncultured bacterium. RNAcentral's name for it is "bacterial SSU rRNA". It matches the Rfam family "Bacterial small subunit ribosomal RNA", at positions 355 to 774 of the family's 1533-position model. The record is from RNAcentral.
UAAGGAAUAUUGGUCAAUGGAGGCAACUCUGAACCAGCCAUGCCGCGUGAAGGAUUAAGGCCCUCUGGGUUGUAAACUUCUUUUAUAUGGGAAGAAAUGUUCUGAUUCUUCAGAGCUUGACGGUACCAUAGGAAUAAGCACCGGCUAACUCCGUGCCAGCAGCCGCGGUAAUACGGAGGGUGCAAGCGUUAUCCGGAUUCACUGGGUUUAAAGGGUGCGUAGGUGGGCAGAUAAGUCAGUGGUGAAAUCUUCCGGCUUAACCGGAAAAUUGCCGUUGAUACUAUGGGUCUUGAAUAUUGUGGAGGUAAGCGGAAUAUGUCAUGUAGCGGUGAAAUGCUUAGAUAUGACAUAGAACACCAAUUGCGAAGGCAGCUUACUAUAUAAUUAUUGACACUGGGGCACGAAAGCGUGGGUAGCGAACA